UAAUAAUAACAAUAAUUGAGGGUAUAAACCCAAAAUAAGUACAAUACCUCUGAAUAAAUAAUGUACUCCAUACAACAACAUGUAAGGGUGGUGCUCCAGC
This is a long non-coding RNA of Octopus sinensis (East Asian common octopus), 100 nucleotides long. RefSeq lists it as uncharacterized. The transcript is spliced from 3 exons. Lineage: Eukaryota; Metazoa; Mollusca; Cephalopoda; Octopoda; Octopodidae. The record is from RefSeq and is a predicted model, not a curated record.